Pieris napi is the source of this 337-nucleotide long non-coding RNA. RefSeq lists it as uncharacterized. NCBI's taxonomy places the organism in Eukaryota, Metazoa, Arthropoda, Insecta, Lepidoptera, Pieridae. The transcript has 3 exons. The record is from RefSeq and is a predicted model, not a curated record.
GUUAAAUUGAGCGUAGUCUUAAAAUUACAUUUUUUAUUGACACGAGCUGAUUUGAUCGCUAUGUUUGCUCUGUUUCUUCUUAUAAUCCAUGAAGUGAUAUCAUUUGGGACAAUAGACGAUUUACCAGUUCUCGACCAUCGUGGAUGUGAUGAUUGCUUACGCGUAUAUGUCCCCGUGUGUGGAACAGAUAAAAAGACAUACACCAACAUAUGUCGCUUGAAUUGUUUGAACAGUAAGCGGAAUCAAUCUGAAUGGGUGUUUAUUGAAAGGUAUGGACCAUGUAAUGAAGUAAGCGUAAUACUCAGUGCUCACAAUAUAGAUUAAAUGAAUACUUUUC